GCAGUCGAGCGAGACCUUCGGGUCUAGCGGCGGACGGGUGAGUAACGCGUGGAGACGUGCCCUUUGCUACGGAAUAGUCCCGGGAAACUGGGUUUAAUACCGUAUGUGCCCUUCGGGGGAAAGAUUUAUCGGCAAAGGAUCGGCCCGCGUUGGAUUAGGUAGUUGGUGGGGUAAUGGCCUACCAAGCCGACGAUCCAUAGCUGGUUUGAGAGGAUGAUCAGCCACACUGGGACUGAGACACGGCCCAGACUCCUACGGGAGGCAGCAGUGGGGAAUCUUAGACAAUGGGGGCAACCCUGAUCUAGCCGUGCCGCGUGAGUGAUGAAGGCCUUAGGGUUGUAAAGCUCUUUCAGCUGGGAAGAUAAUGACGGUACCAGCAGAAGAAGCCCCGGCUAACUCCGUGCCAGCAGCCGCGGUAAUACGGAGGGGGCUAGCGUUGUUCGGAAUUACUGGGCGUAAAGCGCACGUAGGCGGACUGGAAAGUUGGGGGUGAAAUCCCGG
This 501-nucleotide ribosomal RNA is filed under the name uncultured bacterium. RNAcentral describes it as "bacterial SSU rRNA". It matches the Rfam family "Bacterial small subunit ribosomal RNA", at positions 57 to 605 of the family's 1533-position model. The record is from RNAcentral.